Long non-coding RNA from Haliotis rufescens (red abalone), 263 nucleotides. RefSeq lists it as uncharacterized. The record is from RefSeq and is a predicted model, not a curated record. Lineage: Eukaryota; Metazoa; Mollusca; Gastropoda; Lepetellida; Haliotidae. The transcript has 3 exons.
CGGACCUUCUACAUUGUCGGAGUAUGUGUAUUUGGCUGCUGUGAUAUCAUUUUCGGAUGCUUGGAUCAAUUACCGUCAGGGAUUCCAUUUAUUGUUGCUUGCUUUAUCGUAAGGAGUUUAGAAGCAUUGGGAACAGCGGCUGUUAUGACAUCUAGCUUUGCAAUUGCGGGACUGUGUUUUCCAAAACGAAUCGCAACAGUUUACGCAGUGCUUAAGUCUAUUAAUGGAGGUGCUUUUAUGAUUGGACCAGCAAUAGGAGGUGG